UACAGAGGGUGCGAGCGUUGUCCGGAAUCACUGGGCGUAAAGGGCGCGUAGGCGGCCUGAUAAGUAGGGGGUGAAAUCCUGUGGCUUAACUGCAGGGCUGCCUCCUAGACUGUUAGGCUCGAGCACGGUAGAGGCAGAUGGAAUUCCCGGUGUAGCGGUGGAAUGCGUAGAGAUCGGGAAGAACAUCGGUGGCGAAGGCGGCGACCUGGUCCGAUACUGACGCUGAGGCGCGAAAGCGUGGGGAGCAAACAGG
This 253-nucleotide ribosomal RNA is filed under the name uncultured bacterium. RNAcentral describes it as "partial 16S ribosomal RNA". It matches the Rfam family "Bacterial small subunit ribosomal RNA", at positions 524 to 776 of the family's 1533-position model. The record is from RNAcentral.